GGAGAGGUGGCUGAGCGGUUGAAAGCAGCAGACUUGAAAUCUGCCGUACCCGUCAGGGUACCGGGAGUUCGAAUCUCCCCCUCUCCG
Molecule: transfer RNA, 87 nt
Filed under: Phycisphaerales bacterium
Lineage: Bacteria; Pseudomonadati; Planctomycetota; Phycisphaerae; Phycisphaerales
Also listed under: 1 other name
Description: tRNA-Ser
Rfam family: tRNA
About the family: Transfer RNA (tRNA) molecules are approximately 80 nucleotides in length. Their secondary structure includes four short double-helical elements and three loops (D, anti-codon, and T loops).
Source: RNAcentral